AAUCAACGCUGGCGGCGUGCCUAACACAUGCAAGUCGAGCGCGAAAGGGGAGCAAUCCCCAAGUAGAGCGGCGAACGGGUGAGUAACGCGUGGGCAAUCUACCUCUGAGUGGGGAACAACAGCGGGAAACUGCUGCUAAUACCGCAUGACAUCGUCGAGCCUUCGGGCCUGACGAUCAAAGCCGGGGACCGCAAGGCCUGGCGCUUGGAGACGAGCCCGCGUCCGAUUAGCUAGUUGGCGGGGUAAUGGCCCACCAAGGCUCCGAUCGGUAGCCGGCCUGAGAGGGCGGACGGCCACACUGGGACUGAGACACGGCCCAGACUCCUACGGGAGGCAGCAGUGGGAAUUUUUCGCAAUGGGGAAACCCUGACGAAGCAACGCCGCGUGGAGGAUGAAGGCC
This 400-nucleotide ribosomal RNA is filed under the name uncultured bacterium. Its description in RNAcentral is "bacterial SSU rRNA". It matches the Rfam family "Bacterial small subunit ribosomal RNA", at positions 29 to 416 of the family's 1533-position model. The record is from RNAcentral.